Molecule: ribosomal RNA, 772 nt
Filed under: uncultured bacterium
Lineage: Bacteria
Description: bacterial SSU rRNA
Rfam family: Bacterial small subunit ribosomal RNA
Source: RNAcentral
AGAGUUUGAUCCUGGCUCAGGCGAACGCUGGCGGCGUGCUUAACACAUGCAAGUCGAGCGGAAAGGCCCUUCGGGGUACUCGAGCGGCGAACGGGUGAGUAACACGUGAGUAACCUGCCCUUGGCUCUGGGAUAGCUCCGGGAAACCGGAAUUAAUACCGGAUAUGACCACUUUAGACAUCUUCGGUGGUGGAAAGAUUUAUCGGCCAGGGAUGGGCUCGCGGCCUAUCAGCUAGUUGGUGGGGUAACGGCCUACCAAGGCGACGACGGGUAGCCGGCCUGAGAGGGCGACCGGCCACACUGGGACUGAGACACGGCCCAGACUCCUACGGGAGGCAGCAGUGGGGAAUAUUGCGCAAUGGGCGAAAGCCUGACGCAGCGACGCCGCGUGGGGGAUGAAGGCCUUCGGGUUGUAAACCCCUUUCGGCAGGGACGAAGCGAAAGUGACGGUACCUGCAGAAGAAGCGCCGGCUAACUACGUGCCAGCAGCCGCGGUAACACGUAGGGCGCAAGCGUUGUCCGGAAUCAUUGGGCGUAAAGAGCUCGUAGGCGGUUUGUCACGUCUGCUGUGAAAACUGGGGGCUUAACCCCCAGCUUGCAGUGGAUACGGGCAGACUAGAGGUAGGUAGGGGGAGAAUGGAAUUCCCGGUGUAGCGGUGAAAUGCGCAGAUAUCGGGAGGAACACCCGGUGGCGAAGGCGGUUCUCUGGGCCUUACCUGACGCUGAGGAGCGAAAGCGUGGGGAGCGAACAGGAUUAGAUACCCCCGUAGUCC